RNAcentral lists this ribosomal RNA (400 nucleotides) under uncultured bacterium. RNAcentral describes it as "bacterial SSU rRNA". It matches the Rfam family "Bacterial small subunit ribosomal RNA", at positions 355 to 750 of the family's 1533-position model. The record is from RNAcentral.
UCGGGAAUUUUGGGCAAUGGGCGCAAGCCUGACCCAGCAACGCCGCGUGAAGGAUGAAGCCUUUCGGGGUGUAAACUUCGUAAGAACAGGAAGAAUAAGCGAGUACGAAUAAUGCUCGUGAUGACGGUACUGUUUGUAAGCUCCGGCUAACUCCGUGCCAGCAGCCGCGGUAAUACGGGGGGAGCAAGCGUUGUUCGGAUUUACUGGGCGUAAAGGGCGCGUAGGCGGUUGAACAAGUCACUUGUGAAAUCCAUGAGCUUAACUCAUGGCGGUCAAGUGAUACUGUUUGACUAGAGUGCAGAAGGGGCAACUGGAAUUCUCGGUGUAGCGGUGAAAUGCGUAGAUAUCGAGAGGAACACCUGGGGCGAAGGCGGGUUGCUGGGCUGACACUGACGCUGAG